Molecule: long non-coding RNA, 1920 nt
Filed under: Lotus japonicus
Lineage: Eukaryota; Viridiplantae; Streptophyta; Magnoliopsida; Fabales; Fabaceae
Description: long non-coding RNA (LJAP_LNC000129)
Source: RNAcentral
AGUGUUUGAACUUUGAAGGGUUGUCUCCACCAAAACACAGAGAGAACACAACACAACACAACACAACACAACACAUAGAAGAAGCAACACUUCCCUCACUCAUUCAUUCACCUAUUAGGGUUUCCCAAUUCCCAAUUCCAAUGGCGGAGGUCAUCAACGCUCCCCCGGAUUCACUCGACAAAUCCCCACCACCAUCCCCAUCCUCCGCCUCAGCUCCCCCACCUCCUCCUCCUCCUCCGCCGUCGCUACCUCCUCCCUCCGAUUCCGAUCUCCCUCCACCACCUGCCCGCAGGAGGGACAGGCGGGACGACCGGGAUUUCGAUCGUCCACCUAACCGCCGCGAUUACUACGACCGCAGCAACAACUCCCCCCCGCCCAAAGACCGGGACAGGGACUUCAAGCGCCGCCGCAGCCCCUCACCUCCUUCCCAACGCGACCGCGACCGCCGCCACUCCCCUCCCGCCCGGUCCCGAUGACAGGUCACUCCUUUCUUCGCGUGAAAUUGCUUCAUUAGCUAGAAUUUAUCUUCAUUCUGCGAUUACAAUAGUUGAAUUCCAUUUGAUUAGCUGAUUUCUGUGAAUUUGAGUUUAGGUGUAGGAAAAAAUUGAGGAAAUUUCCUUAUUUUUUAGAAUUAUCAGUAUCAAUGUAAGAGGACUCUGGGAAAUGAAGCCAAAUGCAGUUUGUCUGUGAGUGUGUUUAAGAUUAGAGUUUUUCUAUUCAGCCCGAAAACUCAUUCACCAUAAUGCAAUUUAACAACCAAUAGCAUAAUAACAACUUGGCCAAGCAAGAUUCAUGUUGAGGGCAAGAGUUAAUAGUUAGAGACUUAGAGCCAUGUAUGUUUCGUGUAAUUCUCUCAGUACAAUUUCGGACCACAAAGCAAUUUCCUUUAAAUUAACAGUGGAUGUGUUUUUAACCAAGGAAAGCUGUUUGGUUUAGAAUUAGGGAUUUGUAGUUUAAAUUUGUGUGUCCUGUAGGAACUACAAGACUCUGGAAAUGAAAUCAAGUUCGUUGUGGGUAUGUGUUUUGAUGUUGUAAUUCUUGUUUCUAACUGGCCGUUAUGUUUAAUUAUUUAUCCAAUCAAGUAACCUAAUAAAGCCUUCCUAGAAUAUGGGAUUUAAUUUGGAAUUGUGUUUCUGCAGUUAUUUGCUCAUUUUCCAUAGUUCUGAUGCAACUACUUCUAGCAAUGCAUUUUGCCAUCAUUUAUAAUUUCUAAUAUGUUACUUACCGAAUAAUGACACUAUUGUACUUCGACUAGUUGUGGAUGGGUUGUUAUAAACUCUUUCUAUGAGAAGUGAGAACAAAUGACAUGGUAGGAUAUUGUCUGGAAAAGUCUUUUUUGUGUAUGCUUAAAAUGUUUUUGUUUCUCUUUGCUAGUUAAACUUAGUUCCUUUACUUCUCUUUCCUCCCUUUUAUUACCCCAAAAUUUAGAUCAUGCUUUAUCCAAAUGUGUUUUUUUUUUUUUCUUAAUUUACCCCAUCAUCUGAUUGCAGCGGAUUUGGAUAUGAUAAUUCUGGCGGUUAUGAACGGGGAGUGGGUGGAAGGGUUGGUUAUGUCGAUGACAAGUCUUCUGGCCGAUUUGGACAUCGUUCUGCUGGGGGACAUCAAAAUGGGAUUUCUGGUAUGCUAAUAUUGUUAAUAACUGGUUGUUUUUCCUAUAUCCUGUAAAUCCCAUUUUAUCUAUAGCUUCAAUUCUAUUCUUAUUAGUGUUUUGCUUUUAACUAAAUUAUACUCUUAAGUCUUAACCUCCUUCCUUUGAAUAAGAAUAUAUAUUUGCAUAAUAAUUUGAGUUUCUUACCAUUAGAUGUCAUGGUUUCUUCAUUGCACGUUGUUAUGUGUGCUGUGUUAAACUGGUAACAUUCUAAUAGAUUUUCAACAAAACCCCAUAAAGUACACCAAUCAAGCAAAAGAUAGUAAGAUACG